CCUACGGGAGGCAGCAGUGAGGAAUAUUGGUCAAUGGACGAGAGUCUGAACCAGCCAAGUAGCGUGAAGGAUGACUGCCCUAUGGGUUGUAAACUUCUUUUAUAUGGGAAUAAAACGUUCCACGUGUGGGAUUUUGUAUGUACCAUAUGAAUAAGGAUCGGCUAACUCCGUGCCAGCAGCCGCGGUAAUACGGAGGAUCCGAGCGUUAUCCGGAUUUAUUGGGUUUAAAGGGAGCGUAGGGGGAUUGUUAAGUCAGUUGUGAAAGUUUGCGGCUCAACCGUAAAAUUGCAGUUGAAACUGGCAGUCUUGAGUACAGUAGAGGUAGGCGGAAUGCGUGGUGUAGCGGUGAAAUGCUUAGAUAUCACGAAGAACUCCGAUUGCGAAGGCAGUUCACUGGACUGCAACUGACACUGAGGCUCGAAAGUGUGGGUAUCAAACAGGAUUAGAUACCCCAGUAGUC
RNAcentral lists this ribosomal RNA (460 nucleotides) under uncultured bacterium. RNAcentral's name for it is "partial 16S ribosomal RNA". It matches the Rfam family "Bacterial small subunit ribosomal RNA", at positions 338 to 795 of the family's 1533-position model. The record is from RNAcentral.